AGCGGCAGGCUUAAUACAUGCAAGUCGAGGGGCAUCAAGGUACACGAAAGUGUAUUGUUGGCGACCGGCGGACGGGUGAGUAAUAGGUAGGUAACCUACCUCAUACUGAGGCAUAGCUGGGAGAAAUUCCAGAUAAUUCCUCAUGAGGUUAUAUGACACAUGUGAUAUAAUCAAAGGUAUCGCAAGGUAUGGUAUGAGAUGGGCUUACUGACCAUUAGCUAGUUGGUGAGAUAAGAGCUCACCAAGGCGAAGAUGGUUAGGGGUUUUGAGAGAGAGAUCCCCCACAUUGGAACUGAGAUACGGUCCAGACUCCUACGGGAGGCAGCAGUAGGGAAUAUUGGGCAAUGGGCGGAAGCCUGACCCAGCCAUGCCGCGUGAAGGAAGACGGCCUUAUGGGUUGUAAACUUCUUUACUAUGCGACUAACUAGAUUUACGAGAUAAUUCUAUAGAAUGUAGCAUAGCAAAAAGCACCGGCUAACUCCGUG
This 485-nucleotide ribosomal RNA is filed under the name uncultured bacterium. RNAcentral's name for it is "bacterial SSU rRNA". It matches the Rfam family "Bacterial small subunit ribosomal RNA", at positions 39 to 507 of the family's 1533-position model. The record is from RNAcentral.